Molecule: ribosomal RNA, 497 nt
Filed under: uncultured bacterium
Lineage: Bacteria
Description: partial 16S ribosomal RNA
Rfam family: Bacterial small subunit ribosomal RNA
Source: RNAcentral
GAUGAACGCUGGCGGCGUGCCUAACACAUGCAAGUCGAGCGAACAGACGAGGAUUUUGCCUCGCUUACGUUAGCGGCGGACGGGUGAGGCCCACGUGGCUAACUUAUCUUUAAGACUGGCAUAACUUCGCGAAACCUAAUCUAACACCGGUCCAUAUAUUGAACCGCAUGGUUCAUCAGAGAAAGCCGUAUCAGAUGUCACUAAUACAGGUAACCUCGCCGGAUUAGCUAGUUGGUAGGGUAACGGCUUACCAAGGCGACGAUGCGUAGCUGACCUGAGAGGAUGAUCAGCCACACUGGAACUGAGACACGGUCCAGACUCCUACGGGAGGCAGCAGUAGGGAAUCUUCGGCAAUGGGCGAAAGCCUGACGGAGCAACGCCGCGUGAGUGAAGAAGGUCUUCGGAUCGUAAAGCACUGUUAGUUGGGAAGAAGAAAAGUAUGAUUAUCUAUGCAUGUCUUGACGGUACCUAAAGAGAAAGCAACGGCUAACUACGUG